GGCAAAAAAGUCUCAAAUACAACUAAGGAGCUUCAUAUUUAUAGCUCAAAUACAAUGAUAGCCGAAUGGAUAUUUAAGCACAUCCUAGACAAUUCGGUUUAGCUUUAAUGAGUUGAAAGUUAAAGGAAAAUUCCAGGUAACUUCCUUGUGCUUUGUAGACGUCAACAACCAGCUUCUAGAGGCCUUGGAAUCAGCUGAGAUUAAUGGAGGUGCCUUGGCAGCUGAUUGGAACUUGGUAGGUUCGGCCAAUACUUUGAUGAGCUAUUAAAAGAUUGCUUUGAUUAGCUGAAUAGUCUUGUAAGCUUUAAUGGUAGCUUGUGGCCUUGGAAAGUCACCAAUGUGAACAACCAAUAUUGAACAGCCCUUUAGGUGUGAAAGCUCAAAGCUGAAUGGUCUCAAGGUGUGAAAAGAACCUUCAGCUGAAUUAAAAAAAUGUGGAAGGUUUGGUGAUCCUUGCAAUGCAAGAUGGGCUGUUUAAGAGAUAUCAACCAGCAACCUUUAUCUUAAAUGCAAGUCUUCUUUAAAUGUUGCUCAUACACUCCUUCGAUUGGGCGGCACAUUAAGGGUUGUUGAGUUGACCAAAAAAAUAGCACAUGGAGAAGAGGAAACAGCAGUUGGUUUAAUGACAUUCAUUGUCCAUUGAGCUCCACGAAAGAGGACCAUGGGAAGGAGUAAUCAACACUCCUUUAAUGUUGUCCCAUGCUUGAAAAGGGAGAAGUCAACAGCACCAUUAAUGUCGUCCAUGCAUGCCUUCUUAAUUGCUUGCUUUUGCAAUGAACGAGAGUUUGCUUAGGAAAAGCAAUCAGCAGCACACACACCUUUAAAUGCCGUCCAUGCAUGAUACCUACACCAAAUAAAUUCAACAUAUUAAAUCACUUAGGAAAAAUUAAAUUCUGCAGCAGCAAAGACAUGUUUAAAUUCUCUUUAAAUUUAGCUGGACUAGGACAUAUUAAAUCGACAUCAAGACACAUUAAUUGGAUGUAAUGAGCUGAACACAUUUACGCUAUGUAGUAACUAAGACAUAUUAAAGACAUGCAUUAAAAUAGAACAUAUUUCACACACAUAGGUAAAAUGUCCAAAUUUUAACAAAUUAAAUACUUAACAAUUAUUUAAGCUGAACUAACUAAUUUAACUAACUCAUUAAUUUAUUCCAGCAGCUAAAUGAAUGCAUAAACUAAAAAUAAUAUUAAUAGCAUCGAGCUCAAUGAGCUAAGAUUGAGCUGAAUUGAGCUCAAGGAACUGAAACACGAGCUGAUUCAAGCUCAAUAAACUAGCAUCGAGUUGAACAGCUAAAAAAUGAUUGCAACGCCUGCUUGGAAAACUUGACCAAGAUUGUUCGCAGGGCCUGAUUGUAUAUUCCCCUCUUCUUGAAAGUGACUUGUCCUCAAGUCAAGUCGUUGGUUUACUCGAAAGCGUUCGCGCGACUUGUCUUGGUUGAAAGGGGCGAAUGGCAAAUGAGUGACCUGAAAUUUAUAGCCAUGCGUUAACAAAAAGCAAUGCAAACAAAUUUGUAGUCCACGCAUAAUAAAAAAAAAGUGCAACACAUGUGAAUGGAUAGAUGCAAAAUACCACAUUUGCAAUCAUGCCAAAAAAUAUCUUACUUGUGAAUGUCUAUUCAAACGAUAUAGACAAAAACAGAUAUGUUGUAAGGCAUUCAAAAAUCCCAAUUGGUUUCCACCAAUCAUAGCCUAGAUGCGAGUAAUGAGUCAAAAGAUGUACGUAGGCAUCAAAAAUAGUCAAACGAAAAGAAUUAGAAGAUUCAUGGUCUUCCUUAGUUGGGCAUUGUAAUGACUAUUUAAUCGCAUGUUUUCCAACAAAAUCAUGAUGAUCAAAAACAAGAAUCUUUUUAUCAACCACCAAAACAGAUAGAUCAUCAUCAACCAAAUAGAACAAUUAAGCACGCCACGAUCUAACUGUUUUACAAAAGCUAAAUCAUCAACACGAUUUUUAACACCAUCUGAGGAGAAUAGAAAUGUUUCAAGACAUUCAAGUGUCUUACCUUUAUGAGCAGGAAAAUAAAGAUCGUUUUUACCUCGCUCGAUCAGCACAAACCAUCGCUCUUUGGGGGUAUAGAGAAGUCAAAACUUCGUGGUUGAGUUAACCUUUUCGGAAUGACACGCAAACUUCAUGUACAACCACAGAAAUGACGUAUGGAACAAAUUUAAAUUGAAAUCAAAUUUGUCAAUCCUCGUUUCCUUAUUUAAAAACCAAGUAUCAAACAAAUAGAAAUUAUUCGCACAAACUUUAAGAUGCUGGUUUCUCCCGCAAAACGAAUCAAAACAUAUUCUGGGUAUAAAAACAUGAGUUUGAUUAGUUAUGCCAAAGUGUAGCAAAGGGUUCAGUAAACCGACCAUGUCAAACCAGAAGGAUUUUUGCAUACACAGGAACAAACAAUCAAAACUCCUUACCACCAUUGAAACAGAUUUGCACAAAUUCAAAUAUUUCACAAAAAAACUUUAAUAGACAUUGACAAGUAAGAAGUCAACAGCACCAUUAAUGUCGUCCAUGCAUCCCUUCUUAAUUGCUUGCUUUUGCAAUGACCGAGAGUUUGCUUAGGAAAAGCAAUCAGCAGCACACACACCUUUAAAUGCCAUCCAUGCAUGAUACCUGCACCAAAUAAAUUCAAC
This 2627-nucleotide long non-coding RNA is filed under the name Gossypium raimondii (Peruvian cotton). RNAcentral describes it as "long non-coding RNA (GRAI_LNC009359)". Lineage: Eukaryota; Viridiplantae; Streptophyta; Magnoliopsida; Malvales; Malvaceae. The record is from RNAcentral.